GCUCAGGACGAACGCUGGCGGCGUGCUUAACACAUGCAAGUCGAACGGAAAGGCCCUGCUUUUGUGGGGUGCUCGAGUGGCGAACGGGUGAGUAACACGUGAGUAACCUGCCCUUGACUUUGGGAUAACUUCAGGAAACUGGGGCUAAUACCGGAUAGGAGCUCCUGCUGCAUGGUGGGGGUUGGAAAGUUUCGGCGGUUGGGGAUGGACUCGCGGCUUAUCAGCUUGUUGGUGGGGUAGUGGCUUACCAAGGCUUUGACGGGUAGCCGGCCUGAGAGGGUGACCGGCCACAUUGGGACUGAGAUACGGCCCAGACUCCUACGGGAGGCAGCAGUGGGGAAUAUUGCACAAUGGGCGGAAGCCUGAUGCAGCAACGCCGCGUGCGGGAUGACGGCCUUCGGGUUGUAAACCGCUUUCGCCUGUGACGAAGCGUGAGUGACGGUAAUGGGUAAAGAAGCACCGGCUAACUACGUGCCAGCAGCCGCGGUGAUACGUAGGGUGCGAGCGUUGUCCGGAUUUAUUGGGCGUAAAGGGCUCGUAGGUGGUUGAUCGCGUCGGAAGUGUAAUCUUGGGGCUUAACCCUGAGCGUGCUUUCGAUACGGGUUGACUUGAGGAAGGUAGGGGAGAAUGGAAUUCCUGGUGGAGCGGUGGAAUGCGCAGAUAUCAGGAGGAACACCAGUGGCGAAGGCGGUUCUCUGGGCCUUUCCUGACGCUGAGGAGCGAAAGCGUGGGGAGCGAACAGGCUUAGAUACCCUGGUAGUCCACGCUGUAAACGGUGGGUACUAGGUGUGGGGUCCAUUCCACGGGUUCCGUGCCGUAGCUAACGCUUUAAGUACCCCGCCUGGGGAGUACGGCCGCAAGGCUAAAACUCAAAGGAAUUGACGGGGCCCCGCACAAGCGGCGGAGCAUGCGGAUUAAUUCGAUGCAACGCGUAGAACCUUACCUGGGUUUGACAUGGAUCGGGAGUGCUCAGAGAUGGGUGUGCCUCUUUUGGGGUCGGUUCACAGGUGGUGCAUGGCUGUCGUCAGCUCGUGUCGUGAGAUGUUGGGUUAAGUCCCGCAACGAGCGCAACCCUUGUUCACUGUUGCCAGCACGUUAUGGUGGGGACUCAGUGGAGACCGCCGGGGUCAACUCGGAGGAAGGUGGGGAUGACGUCAAGUCAUCAUGCCCCUUAUGUCCAGGGCUUCACGCAUGCUACAAUGGCUGGUACAGAGAGUGGCGAGCCUGUGAGGGUGAGCGAAUCUCGGAAAGCCGGUCUCAGUUCGGAUUGGGGUCUGCAACUCGACCUCAUGAAGUCGGAGUCGCUAGUAAUCGCAGAUCAGCAACGCUGCGGUGAAUACGUUCCCGGGGCUUGUACACACCGCCCGUCAAGUCAUGAAAGUUGGUAACACCCGAAGCCGGUGGCCUAACCGUUGUGGGGGAGCCGUCGAAGGUGGGACUG
This 1441-nucleotide ribosomal RNA is filed under the name uncultured organism. RNAcentral's name for it is "SSU rRNA". It matches the Rfam family "Bacterial small subunit ribosomal RNA". The record is from RNAcentral.